GCACACUGCGCCUCCGACUCGAGGGGUAGUUUUCAACGCGACGAUCGAUACCCAGCGACCAAAAUCAAUCUGUCUCUCUCAAACCAACAUGCUUUUUCUGCAAGCAGCUGCGUGUCGCUAGACUUACGCCCAUGCACCGUCUAAUCGCAACCCCUUACGGGAUCAGCCACGCAUUUUUGUCGCUUGCGAAGGCAGCAAAGAAAAGUGGCGCUGAGGGUCGUGGAAACGAAGCGAAGAAUAGUGUUCAUUUUGACUCGAUUCAUUAAUUCCACGCAUAGUAAUGUUAGGUAUAAAUUAGAUUAGGUUAUGUUUGAUUGCUUGUAAAACAAACAAAGUAGAAAGACAUUGGAAAUAAUAGGUAGAAAACAAAAAACGAUGUUUCUGUGGAAUUAAUAGAGUAAUACUGGAUAAAAAUUAGAUUAGGUUAGGUUUGACCCUUUGUGAAAUAAGCAAAAUAGGAAAGUAACAUUGAAGAUUGCAUAGGUAAGGUAGGUAAGUUACACGAAUAAACAUAUUAACAGUAUCUAUUUACAUUGUAUUUUUAAAAUCAUUGCCAAUCAGUCCCGUAUUAACAUUUAGGUUUAAGCAGGAAAUUCUGUUUGUAAGUCUUGGGAUUAUACAGAAUAAAAACACUAUGUGAAGUAUUGUAUUCCGAACCAUUGUUCAUUAAAAAUCGUUUAAUCUUUUGGCAAUAAUAGUUGAAAGACGAAAAUUGAUGAAUAAAGAAACUAAAACAAACAUGAUGAUAAUGGAAAUAACUUACAUAUAUUAUCACGAAAAAUAUAGACUAAGCCACUUAGAUGAAGAUAGUAUAUAGUGUGUAAGAUGUGUUUAAUAAACAUAUUGGACAUAUGACAA
This is a long non-coding RNA of Bombus terrestris (buff-tailed bumblebee), 858 nucleotides long. RefSeq lists it as uncharacterized. The record is from RefSeq and is a predicted model, not a curated record. NCBI's taxonomy places the organism in Eukaryota, Metazoa, Arthropoda, Insecta, Hymenoptera, Apidae. The transcript is spliced from 2 exons.